Molecule: ribosomal RNA, 292 nt
Filed under: uncultured eukaryote
Lineage: Eukaryota
Description: partial 18S ribosomal RNA
Rfam family: Eukaryotic small subunit ribosomal RNA
Source: RNAcentral
GGUUGAUCCUGCCAGUAGCAUAUGCUUGUCUCAAAGAUUAAGCCAUGCAUGUCCAAGUAUAAACCUUUAUACGGUGAAACUGCGAAUGGCUCAUUAUAUCAGUGAUCAUUUAUUUGAUAGUACCUUACUACAUGGAUAACCGUGGUAAUUCUAGAGCUAAUACAUGCGUAGAGAAAGCUGAGAGAUCAGUUUUGUAUUUAUUAGAUCCAAAACCAAAACAGUUGCAAGACUGAAGAGGUGAUUCAUAAUAACUUUUCAGAUCGUAUGACCUUGCGUUGACGACGUAUCAUUC